This 21-nucleotide unclassified non-coding RNA is filed under the name Mus musculus (house mouse). RNAcentral describes it as "oocyte_clustered_small_RNA4227". The record is from RNAcentral. Lineage: Eukaryota; Metazoa; Chordata; Mammalia; Rodentia; Muridae.
UGCGAUUAGCUCCAGUAUCUA